This 416-nucleotide ribosomal RNA is filed under the name uncultured bacterium. RNAcentral's name for it is "bacterial SSU rRNA". It matches the Rfam family "Bacterial small subunit ribosomal RNA", at positions 351 to 782 of the family's 1533-position model. The record is from RNAcentral.
GCAGUGAGGAAUCUUCCACAAUGGGCGAAAGCCUGAUGGAGCAACUCCGCGUGCAGGAUGAAGGCCUUCGGGUCGUAAACUGCUUUUAUUAGUGAAGAAUAUGACGGUAACUAAUGAAUAAGCACCGGCUAACUACGUGCCAGCAGCCGCGGUCAUACGUAGGGUGCAAGCGUUAUCCGGAGUGACUGGGUGUAAAGAGUUGCGUAGGUGGUUUGUUAAGUGAAUAGUGAAAUCUGGUGGCUCAACCAUACAGACUAUUAUUCAAACUGGCAGACUCGAGAAUGGUAGAGGUAAUUGGAAUUUCUGAAGUAGGGGUAAUAUCCGUAGAUAUCAGAAGGAACACCAAUGGCGUAGGCAGAUUACUGGACCAUUUCUGACACUGAGGCACGAAAGCGUGGGGAGCGAACCGGAUUAGA